RNAcentral lists this ribosomal RNA (465 nucleotides) under uncultured bacterium. Its description in RNAcentral is "bacterial SSU rRNA". It matches the Rfam family "Bacterial small subunit ribosomal RNA", at positions 329 to 792 of the family's 1533-position model. The record is from RNAcentral.
UCCCAGACUCCUACGGGAGGCAGCAGUGAGGAAUAUUGGUCAAUGGUCGGGAGACUGAACCAGCCAAGCCGCGUGAGGGAUGAAGGUACAGAGUAUCGUAAACCUCUUUUGUCAGGGAACAAAGGCGGGGACGUGUCCCCGGAUGAGUGUACCUGAAGAAAAAGCAUCGGCUAACUCCGUGCCAGCAGCCGCGGUAAUACGGAGGAUGCGAGCGUUAUCCGGAUUUAUUGAGUUUAAAGGGUGCGUAGGCGGAAUCCCAGGUCAGCGGUAAAAUCGGGGGGCUCAACCUCGCUCCGCCGUUGAAACUGGCGUUCUUGAGUGGGCGAGAAGUAUGCGGAAUGCGUGGUGUAGCGGUGAAAUGCAUAGAUAUCACGCAGAACUCCGAUUGCGAAGGCAGCGUGCCGUGCCGCCACUGACGCUGAGGCACGAAAGCGCGGGGAUCGAACAGGAUUAGAUACCCCAGUA